RNAcentral lists this long non-coding RNA (1645 nucleotides) under Heterocephalus glaber (naked mole-rat). Its description in RNAcentral is "lncRNA (ENSHGLG00100036200.1)". The record is from RNAcentral. Lineage: Eukaryota; Metazoa; Chordata; Mammalia; Rodentia; Bathyergidae.
GUCCUUUAUGCCUCACUUAUCUGUAUGUCAAGCUCUUUUCCCCUGCUUGGGAAGUUUUCUGCCCUUAUUUCUGUGAAGAGAUUUUUUAUGUCAUCUUCACUCUCUCCUCUUUCUUCAUUGAGCUCAAUCAGUCUUAUGUUAUUCUUUUUUGCAUCAUCUAGCAGCUGCUGGAUUGAUUUCUCAUGUUCCCUUAUAAUUUUGAAGCAAUUUUUCUUUUCCUGGUCACUAAUUGCAAUCUUAUCUUUUAUAUCUGAAAUUCUGUCUUCACCCUGGCUCAUUCUGCUGUGUAGACGUUCAAUGGAGUUUUUCAUGUCUUGGAAAUCUAUUUGCAUCUGUUUUAUGGAUUCCAUUUGUUUCUUAUGUUGGGAAUCCAUCAUGUUCCUCAGCUCCUCUCUAGAUUUAUUAAUCAUGUCUUGCACUAAGGGCACAAUUUCUCCUGUUAUCUGAGAAAUUAUUUCUGAGUUCAUUUUUUUCCAGAUCCCCUUUUGUUGCCAGUUGAAUGGUCCAGGUGGUUGAGUAUGAGAGUGUUCCAUCUCAUUUCCCUUUGGGGUUGCUGUAGGUGAUCUAGAAGUCUGGUUUUGAGACUUAUUUAAGUGUUUUCUCAUUUUGACUGGGGGGGCCGCUGUUGGUGCCCGCAGGGAGUACCUCCUCUGAGCUGGGAGAGGUGGGACAGGGGCCAGGAGCAGUGGUAGGGAUGGUGGCCCAAAAGCCCUUUCUUCUGGGCUGGGAGCAGCGGGAGGGAUGGUGGCCAGGAAGCCCCUUCCUCUGGACCAGGAGCAGUGGGAGGGAUGGUGGCCAGGAAGCCCCUUCCUCUGGACCAGGAGCAGUGGGCGGCGGCUCAGAAGCCCCUACCUCUGGGCCAGGAGUGGCAUGACUCAGUACCGUAGUCUGGUGGUCUGGUGUCCUCUGUGUCUUUGUAGUGUGGAACCAGGUGUCUGUACAUAGGAACGGGGUGGGGGGAGCUGUUCUGUGCAUUGUUGCCGGUGCGUGGGCUGAUUCGGCAUGUUCAGCAUGACUCGUGAAGGUGAUAGGGUGUGCCUUCUUGAAGUUUCUGUAAGCAAUACCCAGGGCUAAUACUGUACCUGAUCGCCCCCCCUCAUACCACCCCUCAAACUGUGACACUCCCAUGGCAAGAAUGUGGAAAUGGAGUGAACUUACCUUCUGAGAGUCCAACUCUGAUAGGCCUGGAAUGGAUUAGAAGGAUGGAAAACUUCACCCUUUUAUACUCCAUUUGUAUAAAUUAUAUAAUCUUAGAAUUUCCAGGGACAUAACAUUUCAAUUUUGCGAUUUAUGCCUCCUUGUAAUUUAAAGAUAGAUGAAUGCUCAAGAAUAAGGAAAUAGAGGUGGUAACUACAGGUUCUGAAAUCAACCUGUUUGAAAAUCUUCCUAAGGCUUUGAGACCUCAGCAAAUUUCUUUACUCUCUGGAUCUAUUACUGAUAUGAGAAAUGACAGUAAUCAUUCCUAUCUCACAAGGUUAAGAGUGUGGACUUGCAUGUAAAGUGCACAAUGAGUGCUCAAUAAAUGGUGGCUGUUUCUAUUAUAGUUCCCAGUAUAAGAACAGAAGAAAAGCUGAUUUUCUCAAAAUAAAAGGAAUGACGUUGGAGGACAUGUUCAGGUGAAGGCAGUUGACCUGAUGGAGAGUGU